Molecule: ribosomal RNA, 1061 nt
Filed under: Escherichia coli
Lineage: Bacteria; Pseudomonadati; Pseudomonadota; Gammaproteobacteria; Enterobacterales; Enterobacteriaceae
Also listed under: 2 other names
Description: partial 23S ribosomal RNA
Rfam family: Bacterial large subunit ribosomal RNA
Source: RNAcentral
AGCAUGGGAUGAGCUGUGGAUAGCGGAGAAAUUCCAAUCGAACUCGGAGAUAGCUGGUUCUCCUCGAAAUAGCUUUAGGGCUAGCGUCGGAUAUGAGUAAUGGAGGUAGAGCACUGAAUGGGCUAGGGGGCGUAUCGCUUACCGAACCUUAUCAAACUCCGAAUGCCAUAUACUAUGAGUCCGGCAGUCAGACUACGAAUGAUAAGAUCCGUGGUCAAAAGGGAAAAAGCCCAGAUCGUCAGCUAAGGUCCCAAAGUGUAAGUUAAGUGGUAAAGGAUGUGGGAUUUCUAAGACAACUAGGAUGUUGGCUUAGAAGCAGCCACUCAUUUAAAGAGUGCGUAAUAGCUCACUAGUCGAGAGAUCCUGCGCCGAAAAUGUCCGGGGCUCAAACUUACCACCGAAGCUACGGGCUCAAGUUUACUUGAGCGGUAGAGGAGCGUCGUAAUCGGGCUGAAGUCGUACCGUAAGGAGCGGUGGACUGAUUACGAGUGAGAAUGUUGGCAUUAGUAGCGAGAUGUAAGUGAGAAUCUUACAGGCCGAAAAUCUAAGGUUUCCUGGGGAAGGCUCGUCCGCCCAGGGUUAGUCGGGACCUAAGCCGAGGCCGAAAGGCGUAGGUGAUGGACAAUUGGUUGAUAUUCCAAUACCACUAUUAUCGUUAUUAUCGAUGGUGUGACGGAGAAGGAUAGGAUGUGCUAGCGAUUGGAAAUGCUAGUCUAAGCAUUUAGGGAGUUAAAGUAGGCAAAUCCGCUUUAACAAUUCUGAGGUGUGAUGGGGAAGGUCAUUUUGACUGAAGUAUCUGAUUCCAUGCUUCCAAGAAAAGCAUCUAGAGAGAGAAGUAGUGCCCGUACCGCAAACCGACACAGGUAGAUGAGGAGAGAAUCCUAAGGCCAUCGGAAGAAUUGCAGUUAAGGAACUAGGCAAAUUGACCCCGUAAGUUCGCGAGAAGGGGUGCCUGUGAGAGCAGGCCGCAGAGAAUAGGCCCAAGCAACUGUUUAGCAAAAACACAGGUCUCUGCUAAAGCGUAAGCUGAUGUAUAGGGGCUGACGCCUGCCCGGUGCUGG